UCGAGGAUCUUCGGCAAUGGGCGCAAGCCUGACCGAGCGACGCCGCGUGCGGGAUGAAGGCCUUCGGGUUGUAAACCGCUGUCAGAGGGGAUGAAAUGCGUAAGGGUUCUCCCUUACGUUUGACAUAUCCUCAGAGGAAGUACGGGCUAAGUUCGUGCCAGCAGCCGCGGUAAGACGAACCGUACGAACGUUAUUCGGAUUUACUGGGCUUAAAGGGUGCGUAGGCGGCGCGGAAAGUUGGGUGUGAAAUCCCUCGGCUUAACCGAGGAACUGCGCCCAAAACUACCGUGCUCGAGGGAGACAGAGGUGAGCGGAACUUAGGGUGGAGCGGUGAAAUGCGUUGAUAUCCUAAGGAACACCAGUGGCGAAAGCGGCUCACUGGGUCUCUUCUGACGCUGAUGCACGAAAGCUAGGGUAGCGAACGGGAUUAGAUACCCCUGUAGUCC
Molecule: ribosomal RNA, 446 nt
Filed under: uncultured bacterium
Lineage: Bacteria
Description: bacterial SSU rRNA
Rfam family: Bacterial small subunit ribosomal RNA
Source: RNAcentral